GAUGAACGCUGGCGGCGUGCCUAAUACAUGCAAGUCGAGCGAACAGACGAGGAGCUUGCUCCUCUGAUGUUAGCGGCGGACGGGUGAGUAACACGUGGAUAACCUACCUAUAAGACUGGGAUAACUUCGGGAAACCGGAGCUAAUACCGGAUAACAUGUUGAACCGCGUGGUUCAACAGUGAAAGACGGUCUUGCUGUCACUUAUAGAUGGAUCCGCGCCGCAUUAGCUAGUUGGUAAGGUAACGGCUUACCAAGGCAACGAUGCGUAGCCGACCUGAGAGGGUGAUCGGCCACACUGGAACUGAGACACGGUCCAGACUCCUACGGGAGGCAGCAGUAGGGAAUCUUCCGCAAUGGGCGAAAGCCUGACGGAGCAACGCCGCGUGAGUGAAGAAGGUCUUCGGAUCGUAAAACUCUGUUAUUAGGGAAGAACAAAUGUGUAAGUAACUAUGCACGUCUUGACGGUACCUAAUCAGAAAGCCACGGCUAACUACGUG
This 497-nucleotide ribosomal RNA is filed under the name uncultured bacterium. RNAcentral's name for it is "partial 16S ribosomal RNA". It matches the Rfam family "Bacterial small subunit ribosomal RNA", at positions 28 to 507 of the family's 1533-position model. The record is from RNAcentral.